Molecule: long non-coding RNA, 1011 nt
Organism: Daphnia pulicaria
Lineage: Eukaryota; Metazoa; Arthropoda; Branchiopoda; Diplostraca; Daphniidae
Exons: 2
Source: RefSeq, a predicted model, not a curated record
UGUUAACUGUAGAUGUUUAAAAUCCUUCUCUUGAUUAUUUAUCUCUUAAUUCUCUCUUUCAAUUUAACCUAUAAAAUUUCUCAGUGUUAUAAUUAAUUAGUUAAUCUUUAUAAUGCGGCUAAAUGUUAACAUAUAACCAGCGCCAGCGGGAAAAGGUUGCAAAUUUGAAGCACAUAAUGAAAUUAGCUUUCACCCUACAAAUCUUUACUUGUGUACUUACGGUUUGGUAGACCCUAUAUCUUGAAAUGAUAUUUAGGAUAUGAUAGUGACAUGAAAUUUGCUUCAUGGAGAAAAAGUAGUAGGCUACCGUCGAGCGUAGACGAAACAAGAAUAAAUUCACAUGCUCAAAUGCGCUCAAAUGUUGAGACAUACAUGAUUAAAAUGGUCAUCUUAUAACAUAAAAAAUUGAGGUCAAUGAUAUGUAACACAGUGCAUCUGAAUCUGAUAUCGUGUUCGAUGCAGAAUCACAUUACCAAUUUUAUCUAUUUGCCCGUCUCAUUUCCACUGAUUUUACUUCAUUUUAGUCGAGUUUUUCCGUUUGUAACAUAUUAAUUUAUUCCCAGGUUCGCAGCUAAAAAAAUGCCAAUGUUCUUGCUGACACCCUCUUAACUAUUUUCCUCUUCGAACUCCAUCUGAUGAUAUACGUAAUAACUCAUUUCCUUUUUGUUCCUUCAAGUGUUAUGAGUUUACCAGAACACCAGCGAGGAGGCAACGAACUCAUUUCUAGAAUAAGCUACUGUCAGUACCGUGUCUCUAUUCUAUCUGAUAGAUUUUAUUUAUUAUUUUUUUUAAAUUCCAAAUCUUUAAUUUUGUUAUCAAGUUUAUUGCGAUAUUUAACAAGUAAUUCAGUGUGUUAGCUAUUAAAUCCGAUUAAAUCAAAUUAAUUGAAACUAUUGGAAACAUUUUUUCUAAGCGACGAUCAUUUUGCAGUCGUUCAAUCAGUACAAGCAACGAGUUAUUGCCUCCGGGUUGGAUAUUGCUUCUAACCAGAAAUCACGCUCAUCCAAAAUU